UAUUUUAAUAGCUUAUUAAGAGUGUAGUACUGAAGAUACUGAGGAGAUAAUGUCUUAAAAUAC
This 63-nucleotide transfer RNA is filed under the name Lyropaeus sp. UPOL VP016. RNAcentral's name for it is "tRNA-Phe". The record is from RNAcentral. Lineage: Eukaryota; Metazoa; Arthropoda; Insecta; Coleoptera; Lycidae.